CGGGAUGUAGCGCAGCCUGGUCAGCGCGUCUGCCUUGGGUGCAGAAGGUCGCGUGUUCAAAUCACGCCAUCCCGA
RNAcentral lists this transfer RNA (75 nucleotides) under Andalucia godoyi. RNAcentral describes it as "tRNA-Pro". It matches the Rfam family "tRNA". From Rfam's summary of the family: Transfer RNA (tRNA) molecules are approximately 80 nucleotides in length. Their secondary structure includes four short double-helical elements and three loops (D, anti-codon, and T loops). The record is from RNAcentral. Lineage: Eukaryota; Jakobea; Jakobida; Andaluciidae.